AACGAACGCUGGCGGCAGGCUUAACACAUGCAAGUCGAGCGCCCCGCAAGGGGAGCGGCAGACGGGUGAGUAACGCGUGGGAACGUACCUUUUGGUUCGGAACAACUCCGGGAAACUGGAGCUAAUACCGGAUAAGCCCUAACGGGGAAAGAUUUAUCGCCGAAAGAUCGGCCCGCGUCUGAUUAGCUAGUUGGUGAGGUAACGGCUCACCAAGGCGACGAUCAGUAGCUGGUCUGAGAGGAUGAUCAGCCACACUGGGACUGAGACACGGCCCAGACUCCUACGGGAGGCAGCAGUGGGGAAUAUUGGACAAUGGGCGCAAGCCUGAUCCAGCCAUGCCGCGUGAGUGAUGAAGGCCUUAGGGUUGUAAAGCUCUUUUGUCCAGGAAGAUAAUGACUGUACCGGAAGAAUAAGCCCCGGCUAACUUCGUG
RNAcentral lists this ribosomal RNA (431 nucleotides) under uncultured bacterium. Its description in RNAcentral is "partial 16S ribosomal RNA". It matches the Rfam family "Bacterial small subunit ribosomal RNA", at positions 29 to 507 of the family's 1533-position model. The record is from RNAcentral.